GACGAACGCUGGCGGCGUGCCUAAUACAUGCAAGUCGAGCGGACUGAUUAAGAGCUUGCUCUUAUGACGUUAGCGGCGGACGGGUGAGUAACACGUGGGCAACCUGCCCUGUAGAUCGGGAUAACACCGAGAAAUCGGUGCUAAUACCGGGUAAUAUCUGAGAUCACAUGAUCUUAGGUUAAAAGAUGGCUCCGGCUAUCACUACAGGAUGGGCCCGCGGCGCAUUAGCUAGUUGGUAAGGUAAUGGCUUACCAAGGCGACGAUGCGUAGCCGACCUGAGAGGGUGAUCGGCCACACUGGGACUGAGACACGGCCCAGACUCCUACGGGAGGCAGCAGUAGGGAAUCUUCCGCAAUGAACGAAAGUCUGACGGAGCAACGCCGCGUGAGUGAUGAAGGGGUUCGGCUCGUAAAGCUCUGUUGUUAGGGAAGAAACAGUACCGAACGAACUAGGUCGGUACCUUGACGGUACCUAACCAGAAAGCCACGGCUAACUACGUG
This 500-nucleotide ribosomal RNA is filed under the name uncultured bacterium. RNAcentral describes it as "partial 16S ribosomal RNA". It matches the Rfam family "Bacterial small subunit ribosomal RNA", at positions 28 to 507 of the family's 1533-position model. The record is from RNAcentral.